This 454-nucleotide ribosomal RNA is filed under the name Paramunida echinata. RNAcentral's name for it is "partial 16S ribosomal RNA". It matches the Rfam family "Bacterial large subunit ribosomal RNA", at positions 1946 to 2597 of the family's 2925-position model. The record is from RNAcentral. Lineage: Eukaryota; Metazoa; Arthropoda; Malacostraca; Decapoda; Munididae.
CUGUGCAAAGGUAGCAUAAUCAUUAGUUUUUUAAUUGAAGGCUUGUAUGAAGGGUCUGACAAAGGAAAAGCUGUCUUUAAUUUUAUUUUUGAAUUUAACUUUUAAGUGAAAAGGCUUAAAUAAUUUUAAGGGACGAUAAGACCCUAUAAAUCUUUAUAUUAAAUUAUUAUCUUGAAUUUUAAUAAUUUGUCUAGAUUUGACAAGUAAAAUAAUAAAUAUUUUGUUGGGGUGACGAGAAUAUAAAAAUAACUGUUCUUAAAAAAAACAAAGUUGUUUGUAAAAUAAUUUAUAGAUCCUUUUUAAAGAUUAAAAGUUUAAGUUACUUUAGGGAUAACAGCGUUAUUUUUUUUUGAGAGUUCUUAUCGAAAAAAAAGUUUGCGACCUCGAUGUUGAAUUAAAAUUUCUCUACGGUGUAGAAGUUGUGGAAGAGAGUCUGUUCGACUUUUGAAAUUUU